Molecule: transfer RNA, 73 nt
Rfam family: tRNA
About the family: Transfer RNA (tRNA) molecules are approximately 80 nucleotides in length. Their secondary structure includes four short double-helical elements and three loops (D, anti-codon, and T loops).
Source: Rfam
CGCAGGAUAGAGCAGUUGGCAGCUCGUCGGGCUCAUAACCCGGAGGUCGUAGGUUCGAGUCCUACUCCUGCUA